RNAcentral lists this ribosomal RNA (251 nucleotides) under uncultured bacterium. RNAcentral describes it as "partial 16S ribosomal RNA". It matches the Rfam family "Bacterial small subunit ribosomal RNA", at positions 335 to 603 of the family's 1533-position model. The record is from RNAcentral.
GCUCCUACGGGACGCAGCAGUGGGGAAUAUUGCACAAUGGGGGAAACCCUGAUGCAGCGACGCCGCGUGAGUGAAGAAGUAUCUCGGUACGUAAAGCUCUAUCAGCAGGGAAGAAAAUGACGGUACCUGACUAAGAAGCCCCGGCUAACUACGUGCCAGCAGCCGCGGUAAUACGUAGGGGGCAAGCGUUAUCCGGAUUUACUGGGUGUAAAGGGAGCGUAGACGGCUGUGCAAGUCUGAAGUGAAACCCC